UGCGUAGGCGGUUAGUUAAGUCUGUUGUGAAAUCCCCGGGCUCAACCUGGGAAUGGCAAUGGAUACUGGCUAGCUAGAGUGUGUCAGAGGAUGGUGGAAUUUCCGGUGUAGCGGUGAAAUGCGUAGAGAUCGGAAGGAACAUCAGUGGCGAAGGCGGCCAUCUGGGACAACACUGACGCUGAAGCACGAAAGCGUGGGGAGCAAACA
RNAcentral lists this ribosomal RNA (207 nucleotides) under uncultured bacterium. RNAcentral's name for it is "partial 16S ribosomal RNA". It matches the Rfam family "Bacterial small subunit ribosomal RNA", at positions 568 to 774 of the family's 1533-position model. The record is from RNAcentral.